Molecule: ribosomal RNA, 379 nt
Filed under: uncultured cyanobacterium
Lineage: Bacteria; Bacillati; Cyanobacteriota
Description: bacterial SSU rRNA
Rfam family: Bacterial small subunit ribosomal RNA
Source: RNAcentral
CGAAAGCCUGACGGAGCAACGCCGCGUGAGGGAUGAAGGCCUCUGGGCUGUAAACCUCUUUUAUCAAGGAAGAAGAUCUGACGGUACUUGAUGAAUAAGCCACGGCUAAUUCCGUGCCAGCAGCCGCGGUAAUACGGGAGUGGCAAGCGUUAUCCGGAAUUAUUGGGCGUAAAGCGUCCGCAGGCGGCCUUGUAAGUCUGUCGUCAAAGCGUGGAGCUUAACUCCAUUUAAGCGAUGGAAACUGCAAGACUAGAGUGUGGUAGGGGCAGAGGGAAUUCCCGGUGUAGCGGUGAAAUGCGUAGAUAUCGGGAAGAACACCAGUGGCGAAGGCGCUCUGCUGGGCCAUAACUGACGCUCAUGGACGAAAGCCAGGGGAGCG